Long non-coding RNA from Loxodonta africana (African savanna elephant), 1033 nucleotides. RefSeq lists it as uncharacterized. The record is from RefSeq and is a predicted model, not a curated record. Lineage: Eukaryota; Metazoa; Chordata; Mammalia; Proboscidea; Elephantidae. The transcript is spliced from 3 exons.
AAUUAGGUUCUACAUUUUUAAAGAUAAUAGAACAUGGCCGAAAGGGAAGCAAAACUUGUUUUGGAAGGUUAUUUAACGUAAAAAGAGUAUGUAUGGCAGAGGGUCUUUUACAGCCAGUGGGGGAAGAAAGGGAUGUUGGUGUGUGGAGGAUGGGGUGGUGAGGGAUGAACAAAACAGAAACUCCGAAUGUACAAAAAACACCUGUUUUUUUUUUUAAAGCCUGUCGUGCAUCUAUUACACUUCCUCCCUUAAAAACGUAAGGGUGUUUUAUUAUUAUUAAUAUUAUUAUUCCUCUUGAGCCCGUCCUUUCUAAGAACGCGGCGCAAGGAUUCAGGCGGUUUCCUUUCCUGGCUGCGAGGGAUCUCCCUGAGCAGAGCUCUCCGGGUUCCCCAGCUCGCGGGGUGCGGCGAAGGGCAGGUGGAUGCUGGCCAGGUGUUCUCAGGCUUAACUGAAGAAUUAAAAUGAAAUGUGUUUGAAUUGGGAAAGAUGAAGGCUGGAUGAUGAAAUCCCAAAGUACCCUUUCUGGACAACUUUUAACGAGGGCCUUUCUUGCUUGAGAAGGCUGGACUAGAGGACCUCUUCUACAGUCUUGUCACUGGAAAGUCUGCUGACACCUAAUCAAGAGAAUCUAUCUAGAAGAAGUGCUUCAAAAAAUGUGGAAUAAACUGUAUGGAAGAAGUUGGUCAUUAUAGUAUUAUCUAUAAUAGAAAAAAAUGCAAAAAAUAAAUAAAUAAAUGUUCUCCAAGUAUACAGGAAUUGUUUUGUCAAUUGUGGCGUAUUUCCUCAACAGAACUUUCCAAAGCCCUUAAAAAUGAAGGCAAUAAUGAUCUACCAAUAUCAGAAAAUAAAAUGAUUAUGUUCAUUGAAGUUAAAAAAAAAUCAGAGCACAAACUUGCCCAACUGGAUUGUUACAGCCUUUAAUUAAUCAAUUAAUUUAGUUAUUCAACAAAUAUUUAUUGGGGAUUAGAACAUUACUGAGGCAUAUACCAUAUAUAUGAUUAAAAAAAAAAUCCUAGAAAGCAUUUAUACUGAU